Molecule: long non-coding RNA, 9256 nt
Filed under: Solanum tuberosum (potato)
Lineage: Eukaryota; Viridiplantae; Streptophyta; Magnoliopsida; Solanales; Solanaceae
Description: long non-coding RNA (STUB_LNC005163)
Source: RNAcentral
GCGAAAAGGCACUCUGUUAUUUUCGGUACGGACGACAAUUUUCCGUUAACACAUUCUCCGCGAAUUCCAAAAAUAUCCCCACUGUCCCGCUCUUAACAAGCUGGUAAAUCACGUAAUUAUCUCCAACUUUGAGGGGCAAAUUCUGUUCCCUCAGUCCUCACACCCUUCUUCUCUUCUUCCAUUCCUCUGUUUCCCAUACAGCAGGAAAAUGUCAGUACGAAAUCGAAAUUUCUAUAUAGUACUAAAUGAUUUCACAAAUAGGAUUACUGUGAGCUGCAAAAAAUGAACUGUCAAAUGCAAACGAUGAAUGUGGAUAAACACUUUUCCGGCGCCGGCGAGGAAGUUUCGGCGGGAAAUGAUGUGGCGGUUGGAAAUUUUCCGGUUGGGUACGGAGGUGGGGUGGGUAGUGUUAAGGUCACGAUGCCUCAUUACACAGUUUGUAGUGCUUCUGAUGUCGUUGCUCUGCAAAAUCGAGAGGCUAAGUUUGAUCAACUCACUAUAUCGUUUCGUGGCAAAAUUUAUGUUUUUGAUGGUGUUACUACUCAUAAGGUGAGCACUUUUUAAUUGUUUUAAUUGUGUAAUUUGUGAAGUGUAUGUAUAAGUUGAGGAUCAGUAUAAAAAUGCUUUAAGAUUUUUUUUUUUUUUUUUGAUAAACCAUGGUGUCCGGGCUAGCUUUUGCACGCCACAACUAAUUCCAAGCUGUCAACCAAGCUAUGAAAGAUGAGGAAGAAAUCACUAGUGUUUUUGUCACUGUUGAGAUUUGAACGUUACAACUCAUGAUUCUCAAUCCAAUAGUAAUAAGAGUUGUAUGUACCUUAAGUUUAUAUAUGACACCAACUAAUUUGUAAUUGAGGUGCAGUUGGAUUGAUAUUGAUUCUUUUAUUCCCGGUAAUGUUUGAGGAUUUUUUUCUAUACUUCUUCUUUUUUCCAUAGAGAUUGUGCUAGUGUUAAUGUGUUUGGCGUGCUUAAAUGUGUUGAAACCGGUUUAAUUUUGAUCAUUCAGAUUGAAGAGCCAACACAUGAGAUUAAUGAUCAGUGUUUAUGGCGUAUCCUUAAAGUUUGUAGCUUGAUUGUCUCGAGGUUCAGGGCUUUUCUUUUCUUUUAUGCAAUAAAGGAAUUAUCUUUAGGGGUUUAGUGAGCAGGAUGGAUAUUGAUGAUUCAUAUAGGCGACUUCAGUUAGUUUGGAUUAUGUUGUAGUGGUAGUUGUUGGGCGGGGUUGAGAGAGGGGCGGUAUUGGAUGAACAAGAAACUUCUUGAUGAGCCUGCAAUAGUUAUUUAACUAAUUAUGUCUCUAUUGGCUUGUUUCUUAGCUUUACUCUUUAAAUGGGAAUGGAAAACUGACUAUUGCAUUUGGCUGGAUAUUUCUUUAAUCUGAUUGUGAAGCAUUAGGCUAACGAGUAACGAUGGUUCAUUGUCAUAGGUCCAUUCGCUUUUUCAACUUUUGGGUGGAUAUGAGUAUUGUCCAGGCACACAAGCUUUAGGUUUGUCGAGUGCAAACCAGAAGGUAUCCUUUUCUAUGCAAGUUUCUUCUUUUGGUUUGCAUCUGCAUCCUUGUAAUAUUUGGUGAUUUUUUGCCUUAGGACUAUGUGGACCAUCCAGUGCACUGUGCAGAUCCAAAAAGACUUGAAUCCCUCAUUAGAUUUUAUGAAAAGAGGAAAAAGAGAUGCUAUGAAAAGAAAAUCAGAUAUGGUAUCCGCCAAGAAGUUGCGUUCAGGUAAAUUGGCUGAUCUACUACUGCCUAAAUGGAACUUCUAUCUCCUCUUUUUUUGUUUCAGUAAGAGUAGAAUUCUAGCACUCCAAUGAACUUAUGCACAAGAUUGCUCUAUGAAAUUAAUCCCUAUCAGGACUGAUCAAUUUUUUGGCCCGGACACCACUGUCAUUAAAAAAAAAAGGCUGAUCAAACUUUGUCAACAAAACCAAAAGUUUUUAGAAUAUAUUGCAAUCACAUUUACAAUUCAAAGCUUUGCAUAUCAGGUUUACUUGACUUGAACUGGAUAAGUUCGUUCUGUUCACCUCCAUGACUUGAUGAAACCAUUAUCACUAAAUUAGUCUCCAUGAAACUAUUAUUACUAAUUACGUCUCCUUUUUUCUUAUAACAUAUGUGGGCUUGUGGUUAUCGUCCUCAUUUCUCAUAUUUUCUUAUUGGGAAACCAUGAUUCUGUUUUUUGCUCCUAAUUUGGACGGAAAAAUAACUCCUGCUGUAUUUCUCAUUCAGUUUCCUGUAACAUACAACUAUUUGAUUAUUACCCGAAUCUGAUGUUUGGAAACUUCUUCAUUCCAGAAUUUUCUCUCUUAUGAUUUUAAGUUAGGAAAUAAAGUAAUCAAGAAGAUAGUUUGCUUGAUUCAAUUAAGUGGGGAUGUCCAUCUCGAGCCUUAAAGAUUUGAAGUGGCUAUUUAAUAUGCUGGGAAAAACUCACUGAUUUACUUCUGUAGGUAAAAGAAGUGUGUUGAUUGUGUAGAUGUACUAUCUUUUAUAAUAGUCAUAUGGCAGCCUGCAACAACGCUGGAUUCGUUAAAAAGAAUUGCUUUAGAAAGUUGACUCUGACAAGUAACACUACUGAUGAAUUUGACAUUUCAUUCAUUACAUGUGUUUUAGUAUAAAAAUAAUGUGCAAGAAUUUCAUUGUUCUAAGAAAUGAAAUGCUGCAAUACGAUGCAAAACAUUACCUAAAUGACAAUAGCUCUUGCACGCGCGCACACACAUAUCUGCCACCUUCCACAGUUUCUUGUUCUUGUUUUAGCAGGUUGUGGAAUGUCAACAAAAAUAUGCAUGGCAGGUUUAACAGCUGUUCUUCUAUUCCAGUUUUUGAUUUCUUCUGCUUAUUAUUCACAUUUAUAAAUAAUCAGAAUGAAGCGUAAGAAUGGCCUAUUUGCUCGAAAAGGUUCUACUGGACCAAAACAGGACGACAUCCCUUCAGAAGAAACUCGGUAUGUUUUUGAAUAUGAGAAAUAGUUCUGCUUUUUUUCUUGAGAAUAAUAUCUUCUAAAAAAUUAGUUGAUGUGUAUGGUUUGGUUUGUAUUCAAAACUACUUUUGUAUGCAAGAAAUAUUUUGUUGAUGUUGGAUGCCUAAGCAAAUGUUAAUUCUAACUCUCUAUCUUGUUUCCUAGAUGCAUCCAUUGCGGAACUAGUUCAAAGGCCACCCCUAUGAUGAGGCGUGGUCCUGAUGGCCAAAGGAAUCUUUGCAAUGCAUGUGGGCUCACUUGGGCAAAUAAGGUUGGCAUGUACAUCAUCAAAACACUCAAAGGAUUACUCCUUCAUUUAGAUGUUCUUUUCUUUUUAAUAUAUUUUUACCUUUAUACAUCUGAACAACCAUAUAUCAUGUUAACUUACUUGCAUUUUGGUCUAUUUGGAAAGAAUGGUGUCCAUAUAUUGUAGGACUAGGACCUACAAAGUGCUCGUCUUCCAAUACCAAGUCUGAAAGCCUAAUCAAUCAAAUACUGCAAUGCAUGCAUAUGUAAAUUAUCGUUACAAAUUACCAUAGAAUGUUUGCUAUGCCCGCCUUUCCUAUGUUUGAUACAUGGCUCCUCUAGCAUUCUUUGUAACAAUUUCUUGUUAGGCAGAAAAAAGUUGCAAACUAUUGAUUCCUUACUUCUUGCUAUAUCAAUCUGCAGGGGAUAAUGAGGACUCUCUAUAAGGCAUCCUAUGACAAUACUGAGCUCGAACUAGAGGUAAUUGGUUUAUUUUAUUGCUGAAUAGCAAUCCUAUGUUGGUGUAAGAAUUGAAUGUUUCUAAAGCUGUUUUGCACGGCCUACUUCUUAAUCCAUGUAGGAUGAAGAUUGCAACAACACCGACUAUGGACCUCCUCCAUGUUCCGUCUCUUAUCAAGUUUCUUCAUCAGUCUGCCAGUGAUUCCUCGACUAAGACUUUGAUGCCUUAGAAAGAAAGCCAUACUAUAUCAACAUAUCUUCUUCUCAUCCAACUGAAAGAUUAUAUAUACAUACUACAGGUACAUUUCAUCACUAAAACUUUCUCAACAACUUGAUGACACGAUUGAGAACUAUCACAAAUUUUGUUCUUUUCUUUUGAAGUUUAUAUUGACAGAUUAACAACUUAGCUAAAAUUUGUUGGUUAAAGCAAAGGAUCUCUCUCAUGCACUUGUAUUUACCGGUGUUACUUGAAGUUCAAUAGGAAUUUGCAGUUUCUCGCAUCAAGACCUGAUAUAUUUAGCAGUCUUUUUAAUUUAUAUUGGAUCUUGUUACCUAUCUAGCAUUUAGAUUAAGCUUCUUUACUGAUGUAUAUCGAAUUUUGUCUCUUUGGAUAAUCAUAAUCUUAUUCUGAAGAAUGAUCAUAUGAUCUAUACUUCCACAUGUGAUGACUGAUGUAUAUUUUAUUUUUCAUAUUCCCUCCGAGGAGAGCCUUGGAACAACAGUAAAAUUGUCUCCGUGUGGCAUAUAGGUGAUAGGUCAUUAGUCCAUUUGAUGCUUGCAUUAGGUUGACUACAUCACGCCCCUAUGGGUGCAGCUCUUCCUCGAACCUCGCAUGAAAAUGGGAUGAUUCUUAUUUGUUUUUCUGUUUCAGCUUAGAAAUGCUAGACAAUGUAUUUAAUCAAAAUCAAUAUGUUUAGGCAUAUUAGUAGAAUUAAGUUGGAUGAAGACAGCAGGGAGAUACUGGAAAUGGUACAGUAUGUUUAUUUUAUUUUCAACAAUAUGGGGUUUGCAUUCUCUUUGGCCAUUAUACCCUUUAGAAAAAUGUAGAGAAGUAAAAAACACAUUAUCAUUAUAUGCAAACACAACAAAUUAAUUAAUCAGAGUUAUUUUAAGUGAAAGAUCAUUAUUUAUGACAUGUUUCAUUAAUCAAUUAGUUUGGUAUGAACAUGUUAAGUUUAUUUUUAUCUUUCUACUUUUUUUUACGUGUAGUUCAGUUGGAAAACUGCUCACAUCUUCGUUCUAGUGAUAGAGGUGGAGGUUUAAAUUCGUGUAUAUAUCCUUUUCAAAUCCCCACCCGCCUAACAGUGAAAAAAAACUAUUUACCAGUACAUCCACACACAAAAACACACGUGACCUUUAAUUAUCAUUUAAGUAGUCAAUUAUUAUAGUUUAGCAUAGACUUGGAUAACAUAGAGUAUUAUAUUUUUCAGAAAAAAAUAAUCAUGAGACCGACCACUUUCCCCAUACCUAAUUUAAUCAAGUAGCAACUUAUGCUUCCAAAUCUAAUCCAAGAUAUUCUCCACGUAUAAUCCUAUAAUAUAUUAUCCACUAAAAUAUAAUCCAAGAUUUUCUACGGAUAUAAUCCUAAAUGGUGGUAUUAAGGACAUGACACAAUUACAUCUUAUUAUUAAUAUUAUUACAGAUAUAAAGAUAUGGAAAAUAAGUAGUUGGGUCGAAUAUUAAAAUGUAAUAACAUUGUCUAAUUUAUUUUUUGAUUUUUCAUCGGUGUUCGGAACUCACAUUGAAGCUUCGACUAAUCUAGAUGGCGCUCUGCAAGAUAUUCGGAAGUGACGCUUCCAACAGAAUUUUCUUUGUAUUCAGAACUCGAACCCAAACCUCUAAUUAAGAAUGGUGCAGUCCCAUCACCACACCACAAUCCAUAUUAAUUUUAUUACUCAUUUAUUGUUGUGCGUUCUCUUCUUCAUUAUUUUCCACAUAUGUCUCCCACUAUUUACUUUACAUAGUUUAAUAUUUGCCCAAAUAGAGUCUCGCUGAGGAAAUUAAAUACCAAUGGCAGAAGCUGUAAAUUCAACCAUUUUCAAGGUGUGUUUUUGUUAAAAGGACUUUUGUCUCCUUCACACUUUCCUCGUCAUCCUUGUUAUCACCAUUCUCCGUCUCUCCUAAAGAUCAAACAAAACACUCUGUAUCUGAAUUUGAUCAUGAAAUUCGAAGGAGAAAUCCAUCACGAUUCAACUUAGGAGUUCAAAUUUUGCUAGUAAAUGAAGAAAUUUGGAUAUUUAUUUUAUUGUGGAUAGUGAUUUUUGUUGUAAAAUUAGCGUGAUUUUGAAGGAUUAGGUUAACGAUUUCAUGGCGUUUAUAUAGUAGAUAGGAGUAUCAUGAUGGCGGAGAAUCCACGGCCAUUGCAGGCGCGUCCGUAUGAGGAUCACGCGCCGCUGCCGUCGAUACGGAUGGUGGAGGAGGAAGAGGAGGAGGAGGACGAUGAUGACGGCGCAUAUGAGGAUGAUGGAGGAGAAGAGACUAUGGAUGAGGCUGAGGAUGUAAGCAUGAAGGUAUUGAAUCACCAUCAAUAUGGAGGACAGAGCCAACAGUUGUACGGAGGCGGAGGUGGAGUUGUGGAAGUUUCUAGAACAAGUGAGCUUACUCUUGCUUUUGAAGGUGAAGUCUAUGUUUUUCCUGCAGUCACUCCUGAUAAGGUAGUUUCUAUUUUUAGAUAGAUACUCCUAUUUAGUUGCUUUUUUCUAUUUUCUGUUUUUGGAACUUCCCAUCAAAUCAUAGAUUAGGUGCUUUACCUAUUUUAUUGUGCUUUUAGUUUAAAUGCAGUUGUUAUUUAAAUAUUAUCGUAUCUUAUUGUUAAAUCAUUGUUACCUAACGACGGAAAGUUUCAUUUUAAGUAACAACCGACCUCGUACCAUAUAUUCUUGUAGGUUUGUCCUUUAAAUUGUUGAUGUGUUGUGACAUUAUGUAACAACGGAAAAUAAUACAAUCUAUUCAAACGUUGUAUUAAUCAAAGUAAUACAGUACAAUAUAAUACGAUGGAUUAUGAAAUAAUAGGUAACAACUAUCCAAAGUUCCAAACAAAGUGUUUCGUUUCACCAGUAGAUACAAUACAAUGUUGUGUGCAAAUGUAGUGAAUUUUGAGUACACUCUUAGCUACUGACAUGAUGGUAACUCUGCAUAUACCCUUCGGGGUGGCCCAAUGGUUUGGGCUUGGGACUUCCAUGUUGGAGGUCUCAAGUUCGAAACCCCUUGCCAGCGAAAGCAAGGGGUUUGCCUUCUGGGUUGAGCUUGUCGCACCGGGCUUGCCUAGUGCGGGUUACCUAUCCUAUGUGGUUUGCAAGCUAUUGCAUAGGAGAGGAGGUUUUACCUUGUGCGCACCCAAAGGGUGGCGGCUGCGGGUUUCCCUUGUCAAAAAAAAAAAUGAUAGUAACUCUACAUAUUUUGUGCUCAGCGAAUUUUGUGUUGUUGUAGUACUGCUAUUUAUUGAUUAGUUGAAGUAUCGGACAUUGUUGAAGCGGGAUUAAAGAAUGAUUUGGGACAAAUUUUUAAUCUGUAUGUCUUAUUUAUUAUUUUUCAAAUGAUUUUGGUGACUGACUAACUUGGACGUACCAUGACUAACCCACCAAUUAGCCUACUACAGCACAUGAGUGCAACUUUUGCUCAAGUGUUGUAGCUGGGAGUCAAACCUUGGAUCUUGCAUGCCUCAACAUCAGCCACCCUCUUCAGGACAUAUUUAUGUCUUAUUUCCUUUAAGAACAUAUUUUGUCUUUAAUUCUCUACUUUAGUUUUCUACAUAUUUUUCUUGCAUAUCAAGGGCUUCUUGAUGAGGCAUCUGAGUUAAUUGUUACUUGGUUGUUUUUUGCUCUUUCAAUUCUGAUUUUCUGCCGCAAGAGUGUUUUUUGUUCGAUCCAUCUCUUAAAAACGGCCUACUAGUGAAAAAAAUUCAUUUCUAUCGUAAUUCUAAUGGAAUUUGUGAUUCUUUAAGUUUUCCAUCCCCCUUAUAGUCCGUUGGCCCUUGCCAGUCCAACUAUGGAAUGACAUAAUUUAUAGAAAUGGUGUCUGGCUAACUCUGCACUCUACAUCCUAGAAUUAAUUUGGAUAUAGUAACUUGGCUGAGAAUUUCCUUCUCUGUGCCCGUUUACUAGAUAUUACUCCAAAAGAAAAUUCUUGAGAAUAUAGCUGGGAAUUUUAUGUGUCAUUGCACCUUCUUUCCUGCUAUAUAAAGUUAGAAGCAGCUGCUUCCUGUGAUUCACCUCUACUCAGCUUCUCAGAUUCUGAAGAAAUCAGAAAUAGCUGAGAAAUAUUGGGGUUUCACUUUUAUAAUGGUCCUUCUCAUCCAGGAGGCAUGUUUAGUGAAAUACGAUUCCGUCUCCAUCUUACAUGGUAUGGUGUUUUGCUUCUGUUGUCUGUCAUAUAAAUCAUGGUUCUUUCUCCGUAUUUGGACAGAGUUGUUACUGUGUUGUGUCAAUCAUGUGUUGUUGUAGCAUAAUGACUGGUAAAGCUGUGGAAAUUGACUCUGGCUUACUUUUGGUAAAAACAGGUGCAAGCAGUGCUCUUAUUAUUGGGGGGAUGCGACAUUCCUACUGCUGUGCCCACUGUUGAACUUCCAUUCGACAACAAGGUAUUCUAUUCAAAUUCUAUAACUUGCACUACAUAGUUUGAUGAUACUUUUGGAUGAUCAGUAUUAUUUUUAGGUUGAGGAUUUGCCAAAGCAAGCUAAUCUUUCGAAAAGAUUUGCCUCCUUGGUUAGGUUCCGAGAGAAGCGAAAGGAGAGAUGUUUUGACAAGAAAAUUAGAUAUAGUGUCAGGAAAGAGGUUGCUCAAAGGUAAAUGAUAUGCCUUGUUUCCAUUUUUUGGUUUUCUUUGAGACUUUAACCUGGCAAUGAUAUUUGAUAAUGUGAAAUUGUCACUUACAAACAAAUGAAUAAAAGAUGACAUUGGUAAUAUAAAUUGCUGUCAGCACGCUUUCUUUGAUAUUUAUUCAACAAACCCUUUCAUAUCCAAGUGUUAGUACCAUGGUAUCAAUGUCAUUUUCUGACCAAUUUAACAUGAUGUUUGUUUGUCCUCAAUUUUCGUUCAUCUUUGAUUUUUUAGGAGUACUUCUUUGAUGGAAUUCACCUAAUAAUGUACUUGCAAUAUCAGUCCUUAUGAUGUCGUGUCAUCAGCUAAAUGCUGAUCUCUUCACUUACAUUUAGUAUAAGGAUCCUGUCUGUAUCAUUGGUUUCUCAUGCAAAGAUUUUGCAUAUAUUAGAUGGUGUAGUAUUCAUCCAAACUGAAAAUGAGAAGGACAAUAAUUUUGAUUGGAAUUGGUUGUUAGCUUUUUUAUAAAAGAAGAAAUAUGGACUUGGUCAAUUUGUUUUGUAAAUGUAGAAUUUAAAGAAUUUAUCCCUGGAAGUGUAUGUCUAAGUGAAAACCAGAGUCUGAUUUCUGUUUAAACAUGUUUUGAAGGACUGAAACAUAACUUCUUUUUUUUCGCAUCCCAAAAAAAAUAUAUAUAUUCUGGCAAAAUUUAGAAGCAAUUUAUUUUCUAAAUUAAUUAGAAGCAUUUUUUGAUACAGAUAUCAAGGUUUUGAGUAAUGAACUUACUUGGCCACAUGUAUAUUAGGAUGCAUAGGAAAAAUGGUCAAUUUGCAUCUUUGAAAUCAAGUUCUG